Molecule: ribosomal RNA, 216 nt
Filed under: Pseudoniphargus sp. 6-Morocco B
Lineage: Eukaryota; Metazoa; Arthropoda; Malacostraca; Amphipoda; Allocrangonyctidae
Description: partial 16S ribosomal RNA
Rfam family: Bacterial large subunit ribosomal RNA (bases 1-169)
Source: RNAcentral
AUAACAGCGCAAUAGUUUUGGAGAGGCCUUAUUGAUAGAACUGAUUGCGACCUCGAUGUUGAAUUAAGAUUUCUUUUUGUUGCAGAAGGCAAUAGAGAAGGUUUGUUCAACCUUUAAAUUUUUACAUGAUUUGAGUUCAAAUCGGUUUAAGCCAGAUUGGUUUCUAUCUUUUAUUUAUUAUAAUUUAUGUAAGUACGAAAGGGACACGUAAAGUUU